Molecule: ribosomal RNA, 302 nt
Filed under: uncultured bacterium
Lineage: Bacteria
Description: partial 16S ribosomal RNA
Rfam family: Bacterial small subunit ribosomal RNA
Source: RNAcentral
GCAGCAGCCGCGGGAAUACGAAGGGGGCUAGCGUUACUCGGAAUUACUGGGCGUAAAGGGCGCGUAGGCGGCGCACCAAGUUAGGCGUGAAAGUCCUGGGCUCAACCUGGGGACUGCGCUUAAGACUGGAGUGCUUGAGGAUGGAAGAGGGUUGUGGAAUUCCCAGUGUAGAGGUGAAAUUCGUAGAUAUUGGGAAGAACACCGGUGGCGAAGGCGGCAACCUGGUCCAUUACUGACGCUGAGGCGCGAUAGCGUGGGGAGCAAACAGGAUUAGAUACCCCAGUAGUCCCUGUCUCUUAUAC